RNAcentral lists this ribosomal RNA (198 nucleotides) under Butyrivibrio fibrisolvens. RNAcentral's name for it is "partial 16S ribosomal RNA". It matches the Rfam family "Bacterial small subunit ribosomal RNA", at positions 52 to 230 of the family's 1533-position model. Lineage: Bacteria; Bacillati; Bacillota; Clostridia; Lachnospirales; Lachnospiraceae. The record is from RNAcentral.
CACAUGCAAGUCGAACGGAUUUUGCUCGCUGCAGAGACUUCGGUCGAAGCUUGAGUAAAGUUAGUGGCGGACGGGUGAGUAACGCGUGGGCAACCUGCCUCAUACUGGGGGAUAACAGUUGGAAACGACUGUUAAUACCGCAUAAGCGNACAGAGUCGCAUGACUCAGUGUGAAAAACUCCGGUGGUAUGAGAUGGGC